RNAcentral lists this ribosomal RNA (578 nucleotides) under uncultured bacterium. Its description in RNAcentral is "bacterial SSU rRNA". It matches the Rfam family "Bacterial small subunit ribosomal RNA", at positions 102 to 694 of the family's 1533-position model. The record is from RNAcentral.
AAGGGAGAGUAACGGGUGGUUACUUACCCUCAGGCUCGGGAUAGUGUCGGGAAACUGACAGUAAUACCGAAUAAUAUCUUUGGAUCAAAGGUGUGAUUCCGCCUGGGGAUAGGACCGCUUUCUAUUAGCUUGUUGGCGGGGUAAUGGCCCACCAAGGCUGCGAUGGAUACCGGGUGUGAGAGCAUGGCCCGGCUCACUGGGACUGAGACACUGCCCAGACACCUACGGGUGGCUGCAGUCGAGAAUCUUCGGCAAUGGGCGCAAGCCUGACCGAGCGACGCCGCGUGCGGGAUGAAGGCCUUCGGGUUGUAAACCGCUGUCAGUUGGGAGGAAGGCGCUGUGAAGAGCAGCGUUUGACCGAUCUUCAGAGGAAGGACGGGCUAAGUUCGUGCCAGCAGCCGCGGUAAGACGAACCGUCCGAACGUUAUUCGGUAUUACUGGGCUUAAAGAGUUCGUAGGCGGCCUAGCAGGUGAGGUGUGAAAUCCAACGGCUCAACCGUUGAAUUGCGCUUCAAACCGCUAGGCUCGAGGAUGGCAGGGGUGUUGGGAACAGAUGGUGGAGCGGUGAAAUGCGUUGA